Molecule: regulatory RNA element, 88 nt
Organism: Rhodobacter capsulatus SB 1003
Lineage: Bacteria; Pseudomonadati; Pseudomonadota; Alphaproteobacteria; Rhodobacterales
Rfam family: Rhodo-rpoB RNA
Source: Rfam
GGUUCGGGAGCCUUCCGGUGGGACGGAAGGCAGGUAUGGAACCGCCUCCCAUUCGCAAGCGGCGUGCAUCGGGCCCCGACGAUGCACA